AUGGACAUGGGGAGGGGGAUGGGGAUGGGGAUGGGGAGGGGGAUGGACAGGGAGGAGGGGCUCAACCUCAGCUUGUCACUGCAGCGGUCGCCUUCGUCGCCGCCGAGGUUCCAGGCGGUGUUCGCCUGCUGCUACUGCCCCAGGAAGUUCAGGAGCUCUCAGGCUCUCGGCGGCCACCAGAACGCGCACAAAGUCCAGCGCAACCUGGCCAGGCGAGGCCGGGACGCCACCACCGCGCUGUCGUUGGCGGCAGCAGGAGAGCAAGGUAAGGCCGCCGUCGAUGACGACAGCGCUCCGCUGCGCCUAGCGGACCCUGACGCCGCCGACGCGUGGGGAGGAGGGAGGGUCUACCCUCCUCAUCGCCAGCAGGGCUCGGGAGCAGCCUCGUCCGGUGCGGCAAGAGGCAACGAAGAGCUUGCGGAUGAGAUGAUUGACCUGUCCCUGAAGCUAUGA
RNAcentral lists this ribosomal RNA (453 nucleotides) under Triticum aestivum (bread wheat). Its description in RNAcentral is "partial small subunit ribosomal RNA". Lineage: Eukaryota; Viridiplantae; Streptophyta; Magnoliopsida; Poales; Poaceae. The record is from RNAcentral.